GACGAACGCUGGCGGCGUGCCUAAUACAUGCAAGUAGAACGCUGAAGGAGGAGCUUGCUUCUCUGGAUGAGUUGCGAACGGGUGAGUAACGCGUAGGUAACCUGCCUGGUAGCGGGGGAUAACUAUUGGAAACGAUAGCUAAUACCGCAUAAGAGUAGAUGUUGCAUGACAUUUGCUUAAAAGGUGCAAUUGCAUCACUACCAGAUGGACCUGCGUUGUAUUAGCUAGUUGGUGGGGUAACGGCUCACCAAGGCGACGAUACAUAGCCGACCUGAGAGGGUGAUCGGCCACACUGGGACUGAGACACGGCCCAGACUCCUACGGGAGGCAGCAGUAGGGAAUCUUCGGCAAGGGACGGAAGUCUGAACGAGCAACGCAGCGUGAGUGAAGAAGGGUAUCGGAUCGGAAAGAUCUGUUGUAAGAGAAGAACGAGUGUGAGAGUGGAAAGUUCACACUGUGACGGUAUCUUACCAGAAAGGGACGGCUAACUACGUG
RNAcentral lists this ribosomal RNA (495 nucleotides) under uncultured bacterium. Its description in RNAcentral is "partial 16S ribosomal RNA". It matches the Rfam family "Bacterial small subunit ribosomal RNA", at positions 28 to 507 of the family's 1533-position model. The record is from RNAcentral.